RNAcentral lists this long non-coding RNA (1526 nucleotides) under Homo sapiens (human). RNAcentral's name for it is "HSALNT0201004". The record is from RNAcentral. Lineage: Eukaryota; Metazoa; Chordata; Mammalia; Primates; Hominidae.
GUAAGACAGCCAAUGACUUGAUUCCUCCUUCCUCCCUAUCCCUCUUCCACUUCCCCGAUCCCACUCCCAGCCUUUUACCCCAUAGUUUCCCAGUCAGCCCUUCUCCAGUGGGCUUUUACUUUUAAUUUGGCAGCUUGCUCUCUGAUUCUCCUUUGCCUUCCAUAAAGAAACCAUGACUAAACCAUUAGCACUCCAUUCUCCUCCCAGUGUCAACCUGCACCUGGGCCUUGUCUUUCACUUCUGCUAGUGCCAGUGGUAUUCACUCCAGUUAAUUUCUCAGGGUGACUCCAUUCCCGAGCCCUGGCUAUUUUACCUACCCUCCCUGUCACCUGUCCACCCUUGAAAUUCAUUCUUCUGAUGUAGCACGAACUGGGCUUAAUGCAGAUCCCUGCUUGUCUUCCCUAAGCGGCACGCCCCUUCUCCCUUACAGGGCCCUGAACAGCAGCGAGAAACACAGAAAGCUUUGGGCAGUUUGUUCUUGCUGAUCUAUUGUAUUAGAGGGUGGGACCAGGAGUAAAGCAGAAAUAGCUGGGAACAGUGAAACCUGUAUCUAAAUAAAUAAGCCAACGGCUAAGCUAACGAUAUUCCAUCUCUCAUGCGGAGUCACAGUUGGCCAGUGAAUAUUAGUUUACUUUUACUUGCUGCGUACUCACUGGUGGAGAAUGAGCAAGGCUUGGGUUGAGGAGAUGUAGGCAGAGGGGAACAUAAAGGCAAAGGGGGUGGAGAAUCUAUAAACCAGACAGACAGGCCUUAACUAUGCUGUGUUGUGCUCAUUUCCUGGCCCUGCUGAAUCAUCCCACCGCCACACAGGGAACAUGGUUGGGAUGUGAAGAGCUCCUUUAACAUGGCACAGAGUCUGGUGACUGGAAGGUCUAGAAGUAUAUCAGAGGAAAGGAAAAAUUAAUGGAUAAUGACCAGAUUUUACAUCCACCUAAUGGCUUGGAAUGUUCCAGUGCCAAGAGAAGGCCUUCUUGUCGCAUGUGAUUUCAUAAUAAUUAGGGCCAGCUGUGUCUGUGCGAAUCAGGUCAAGCCAGAUGCCAAACCCUAACUCAAACACUUACAGGAAGAUCCUCAUUGCCAGGAGCCUCAAACGUCCUGCAGAAAAUCAAAAAAAGCAUCUGCCUCCUGUGUCCCCUCUUUCCCUGUUGUACGGCUAACACCAGAUCCCAGUCUCUUCAGUGGCACUCAACUUUUUCAAGUCACAAGAUGGAAGCGCUUUGGAAGAGGAGUAAAGGACCUGGACUCUGAUUCCAUGCCACCGCAAACUCGGGCAGGCACUUCAAAGCAGAGAGUCUCAUUUUCCACUUCUGAAAAACACAUGGUCUAGAUGAGCUCUAAGUCCUUUGCACUCAAUAAUUUCACAGUCUUUUUUAUUAUUAAUAUUAUUUUCAAUUGAAAAAUCAUAAUUGUAUAUUUAUGGGGUACAAUGUGAUGUUUUGAUAUAUGUAUUCAAUAAGGAAUUAUUAAAUCAAGAUAAUUAACAUAUCCAUCAUCUCACUUGCCUAUCAUUUAAAAAAAUUUGCCUA